RNAcentral lists this ribosomal RNA (960 nucleotides) under Mycolicibacterium mucogenicum. RNAcentral describes it as "partial 16S ribosomal RNA". It matches the Rfam family "Bacterial small subunit ribosomal RNA", at positions 56 to 1035 of the family's 1533-position model. Lineage: Bacteria; Bacillati; Actinomycetota; Actinomycetes; Mycobacteriales; Mycobacteriaceae. The record is from RNAcentral.
UGNNNUCGNACGGNAAGGCCCUUCGGGGUANUCGAGUGGCGAACGGGUGAGUAACACGUGGGUGAUCUGCCCUGCACUUUGGGAUAAGCCUGGGAAACUGGGUCUAAUACCGAAUAGGACCACGCGCUUCAUGGUGUGUGGUGGAAAGCUUUUGCGGUGUGGGAUGGGCCCGCGGCCUAUCAGCUUGUUGGUGGGGUAAUGGCCUACCAAGGCGACNACGGGUAGCCGGCCUGAGAGGGUGACCGGCCACACUGGGACUGAGAUACGGCCCAGACUCCUACGGGAGGCAGCAGUGGGGAAUAUUGCACAAUGGGCGCAAGCCUGAUGCAGCGACGCCGCGUGAGGGAUGACGGCCUUCGGGUUGUAAACCUCUUUCAAUAGGGACGAAGCGCAAGUGACGGUACCUAUAGAAGAAGCACCGGCCAACUACGUGCCAGCAGCCGCGGUAAUACGUAGGGUGCGAGCGUUGUCCGGAAUUACUGGGCGUAAAGAGCUCGUAGGUGGUUUGUCGCGUUGUUCGUGAAAACUCACAGCUUAACUGUGGGCGUGCGGGCGAUACGGGCAGACUANNGUACUGCAGGGGAGACUGGAAUUCCUGGUGUANCGGUGGAAUGCGCANAUAUCNNNAGGAACACCGGUGGCGAAGGCGGGUCUCUGGGCAGUAACUGACGCUGAGGAGCGAAAGCGUGGGGAGCGAACAGGAUUAGAUACCCUGGUAGUCCACGCCGUAAACGGUGGGUACUAGGUGUGGGUUCCUUCCUUGGGAUCCGUGCCGUAGCUAACGCAUUAAGUACCCCGCCUGGGGAGUACGGCCGCANNGCUAAAACUCAAAGGAAUUGACGGGGGCCCGCACAAGCGGCNNNNCAUGUGNNUUAAUUCNAUGCNACGCGAANAACCUUANCUGGGUUUGACAUGCACAGGACGCCNGCAGANAUGUCGGUUCCCUUGUGNCCUGUGUGC